GUGCACAAUUUUGAUGGGACUAUGCAUAGACUCGUUCGUCCAGCCAAAAUGUAAUAGAAGGGACAUAACUCUAUAGAAGGGACAUAAUAGCCACUGGUGGCACUACGAUCAUGCCCAGAAAUUUCAGCCUCAUUUAGCAAGGGUGGAAACUGGACUUUUAUAGUCAGCUAACAACUCCCUAGCCUUUGGAAGAUGAGGGGCAGUGGGGUAGCACAAUGGUUAAAGUGUUCACUCAUCACACCAUUGACUUAGGUUUGGUUCCUCCCUGUGUGAGUACAAAUGGCUGGACAGCGUUAGAAAUUGGCACUAGUCCUUAAGUCCUUGCCAAAAACUGCCCAAUGGUAAAGGUAUCAUAAGGACUAGUAGACAUUUGUCUUUUUUAAGGGUUUUGCUAUAUGUUAUCAUUAUAAGGACUAGUGGACGAAAACUGUUAGUUUCUAACCCUGCUGGAUUAUUAGUAAUGCUGCAUAAAACCAUACUCACGGAUUCAACUACUGUGGGUGAAGCCUGUUAUUGGUGCUGAGCUGUUACUGACAUUAGUGUCAUAUUAUACAAAGGGGGACAUGAUAUGUUGGUGAAUAGGUAAAAAGUUCUUGUUUAUAUUGCUCAUUUCAGGUAGAUUUUUCCACUUUAAAUUUUUUCAGGUGUUAGUGUUUUUUGUUAAAUUCUUGCCAAAGUCUAAUUCCAGUUAUUAUCCAGGUCACUCAUAAUCUGGUAGGUUGUAUUUUAUCAUGCUACCAAUAUAUUCUGCUUUUCCGAAGGUGCAUUGGAUGGUAUUUCGAGCUUGAAUUAUUUUUAUUAAAACUUGUUAACUUUUAGGAUGACCCCUAGCUGAAUAGAAAAAUAGCUGAUGGCAUUCAAAGGCUAUGUCCAAGUUGGUAACAUGGUUCUUUUCGUUAAAUAAUAUGAAUAGAUAAGAAAAUUCACUGGCAUUUCAUCACAGAAGUAUUAGGGAGUUGUUUUUUAUCAUAAUAUUUAUGGUAUUCUUUUAAUUUACAAAUUAACAAUUCAGUGAUAUGGGUGCAGAAACUUCAUUUUUGUAAGGUCUUCCAUGCCGUGGAACAAAGGUGUUAUAGAGUCUGAGUCUGAGAGUAGGGCUGUGGUGGUCCAGUUUGACAUGAUACGAUAUGUACAGUGACAUCAAAUGUGUUAUAGAGUCUGAGUCUGAGAGUAGGGCUGUGGUGGUCCAGUUUGACAUGAUACGAUAUGUACAGUGACAUCAAAGGUGUUAUAGAGUCUGAGUCUGAGAGUUGGGCUGUGGUGGUCCAGUUUGUCAUGAUACGAUAUGUACAGUGACAUCAAAGGUGUUAUAGAGUCUGAGUCCGAGAGUUGGGCUGUGGUGGUCCAGUUUGUCAUGAUACGACAUGUACAGUGACAUCAAAGGUGUUAUAGAGUCUGAGUCCGAGAGUAGGGCUGUGGUGGUCCAGUUUGUCAUGAUACGAUAUGUACAGUGACAUCAAAGGCAGCCAUCGAGCAAUACUUGAAGCUGGAAAACCUAAAGUCACACACGACUUAAAUACGCCACAGUGGAACACCAGCGUUAUUACAACCACAACAUCUUGACCGAACUUCUGUCACAACACUAAGCUGCCCUAUGAAUGAGGGUCUGAGAGGCCAGUAUUAAACAUGGCACCCAUAUGCAAUUACACAUUUUUCAGGAUGAUGACCAUCCACAGCAGACUCUACGUAUGUUGUUAAACAGUUUUUGUAUUGUUACAAAACAACCAAUGAGUUAAGCAGAUGAUUUUUGUGAGGAUUGUUAAUGUUUGUUAUUCAAUUGUGUAGUGCCAUAUUUACACAGACAUUGAGUAUCAGUGUGUAAGCACAGGAUAUUGUACUUAACAUUAGGUGGUGCUCAUAACUCAUUAGUUAUUUGACAAUGAGUUUUAGAUUUUGAAUGGGGACUAGACUUUCUCAAAUUGACAGCCUCAGCAAGUUUGAUUUAAGUUGUAAACAAACAACUAUGUAUUGUUACUUCAAAUGUUGUCAUAUAUAGUAGUGUUUCAGUACAUGAGUGGCAUUAUUAUAUAAAGGCAAAGUUUGGGUUUCACACAAAGCACAUUUAUGCUAAUUUGGACCUACACUGAAAGUAGACAGCAUGGUCCUUGUUUAAGGCACAAACAAGAACACCUGGUUCUCACACUACAACUUUUGUGUUGUUGUUAGAAUUCUGCCUCCGUGUCAAUAAGUGUGGUCUCGUAGUUGGCAUUUGGGUACUGACUACAAUAAAAGGCUUUCUUGAUGGAUGGUAUUCUUGAUCAAUGGUAUUCAUGAUGCACAGAGAUUUUUUUAGCAUUGAAAUACAUGUAUUGCUCAAACCGUAAUAUGACUUUGUGAGCACUGAUGUUAUGUAUAAUCGUGAAAAUGUCAGUUAUAUGAACUUUAUCAUAUGUUAAUCAAGGUUAAAAAAGACAUAUUUUGUAAAUAUCUUUUUGAAGAAGUAAACAGCUAUUUUACAACACA
This is a long non-coding RNA of Haliotis rufescens (red abalone), 2463 nucleotides long. RefSeq lists it as uncharacterized. The transcript is spliced from 2 exons. The record is from RefSeq and is a predicted model, not a curated record. Lineage: Eukaryota; Metazoa; Mollusca; Gastropoda; Lepetellida; Haliotidae.